UACGGGGGGGGCAAGCGUUGUUCGGAAUUACUGGGCGUAAAGCGCACGUAGGCGGUCUUUUAAGUCGGGGGUGAAAUCCUGGAGCUCAACUCCAGAACUGCCUUCGAUACUGGAAGACUUGAGUCCGGGAGAGGUGAGUGGAACUGCGAGUGUAGAGGUGAAAUUCGUAGAUAUUCGCAAGAACACCAGUGGCGAAGGCGGCUCACUGGCCCGGUACUGACGCUGAGGUGCGAAAGCGUGGGGAGCAAACAGG
RNAcentral lists this ribosomal RNA (253 nucleotides) under uncultured bacterium. RNAcentral's name for it is "partial 16S ribosomal RNA". It matches the Rfam family "Bacterial small subunit ribosomal RNA", at positions 524 to 776 of the family's 1533-position model. The record is from RNAcentral.